AUUGAACGCUGGCGGCAGGCCUAACACAUGCAAGUCGAGCGAGAAAGGUCUUCGGACUGAGUACAGCGGCGGACGGGUGAGUAAUGCGCAGGAAUCUACCUGGUAGUGGGGGAUAACUCGGGGAAACUCGAACUAAUACCGCCUACGCCCUACGGGGGAAAGCGGGGGACCUUCGGGCCUCGCGCUAUCAGAUGAGCCUGCGUAGGAUUAGCUUGUUGGUGAGGUAAAGGCUCACCAAGGCGACGAUCCUUAGCUGGUCUGAGAGGAUGAUCAGCCACACUGGAACUGAGACACGGUCCAGACUCCUACGGGAGGCAGCAGUGGGGAAUAUUGCGCAAUGGGCGAAAGCCUGACGCAGCCAUGCCGCGUGUGUGAAGAAGGCCCUUGGGUUGUAAAGCACUUUCAAUUGGGAAGAAAGGUUAGCGUGUUAAUAGCACGUAGCUGUGACGUUACCUUUAGAAGAAGCACCGGCUAACUCCGUGCCAGCAGCCGCGGUAAAG
This 500-nucleotide ribosomal RNA is filed under the name uncultured bacterium. RNAcentral describes it as "bacterial SSU rRNA". It matches the Rfam family "Bacterial small subunit ribosomal RNA", at positions 30 to 525 of the family's 1533-position model. The record is from RNAcentral.